GACGAACGCUGGCGGCGUGCCUAAUACAUGCAAGUCGUGCGGACCUUUUAAAAGCUUGCUUUUAAAAGGUUAGCGGCGGACGGGUGAGUAACACGUGGGCAACCUGCCUGUAAGACUGGGAUAACGCCGGGAAACCGGGGCUAAUACCGGAUAGUUUUUUCCUCCGCAUGGAGGAAAAAGGAAAGGCGGCUUCGGCUGCCACUUACAGAUGGGCCCGCGGCGCAUUAGCUAGUUGGCGGGGUAAUGGCCCACCAAGGCAACGAUGCGUAGCCGACCUGAGAGGGUGAUCGGCCACAUUGGGACUGAGACACGGCCCAAACUCCUACGGGAGGCAGCAGUAGGGAAUCUUCCGCAAUGGACGAAAGUCUGACGGAGCAACGCCGCGUGAGUGAAGAAGGCCUUCGGGUCGUAAAACUCUGUUGCCGGGGAAGAACAAGUGCCGUUCGAACAGGGCGGCGCCUUGACGGUACCCGGCCAGAAAGCCACGGCUAACUAC
RNAcentral lists this ribosomal RNA (496 nucleotides) under uncultured bacterium. RNAcentral's name for it is "bacterial SSU rRNA". It matches the Rfam family "Bacterial small subunit ribosomal RNA", at positions 28 to 504 of the family's 1533-position model. The record is from RNAcentral.